Mercenaria mercenaria is the source of this 2555-nucleotide long non-coding RNA. RefSeq lists it as uncharacterized. The record is from RefSeq and is a predicted model, not a curated record. NCBI's taxonomy places the organism in Eukaryota, Metazoa, Mollusca, Bivalvia, Venerida, Veneridae. The transcript has 5 exons.
AUGUGUCCCGCCAUGACAUUUUUAUCCCAAAUGACACACGCCUCGAUAUCGGUAAAAUGACGUAGAAGUUGACGUCACUUAAUUAGAUAAUUGUUUUCAUUAAUUUGUUUUUAAAACAACAGCCAUUAGUGUUAAAAUCAAUGAUAUCGGACGAAGAUUGUUAAGUUUAAACGUUUCAUCAUUUAGUUAUCGCACUAGACUGGUACUUUGUGAAAUAUCUCAAAUAAUGAGAGAAUUAGCGAAUUGUUUCCCUUUGAAAUCUACACGCCAUUAACGGUGUAUACAUGUGUGAAACUGGGUCAGAGAAAACAUGCAGUUAUUGCUCUGAAUAUACGCGGAUAUUUAAAGUGCAUGGCGGAUUUAUUGGUUGUUAUGGACAACCUCCAGCAAUAUGAGAUAUAAAUGUUCACUGCAGUUUUGACAAUGCCCAUCAAGUGGAGUUGCUGUGAGUUCUCAUGCAGUGUAUGAAAAGUAUAGUACUGCUGUUGGAAGAGGAGCAGUGUGGUAUCUAUGGUCCACCAUCACUUCAAGCAUUGACUAUGGAUAAAAGAAGGUUUCAUUACAUAUGGACAAUUAUAUUGGACAAAAUAAGAAGUGUUCUAAUAAGUUCUGGAAUGUGGCUUGUUAUGAUGGGUCUACAUGAUUGACUUGGAGUCAACCUGAUGGGGACUGGGCUUGCAGAAUUCAGUCCUGAACAUGUUUAGAAUGUCUUCUGCAUGACCUGGUGUAGUAUUCUUGAAGGAUUAUAACUUAAGCACAGAGACGGAGAUUAAUAUUUUAGGCAGGGGAUUGGCAUGACAGGCAAAUUCUCCAACUGUAUUACCAUUCCUGAGCUGGAUGCCAGCCGACAGUGGUACCUGUAUAAUGAAAUAGCGCCCCUUUGCAGCAACAACAAUGUAUGCUCAAAACUAGCAGUGCCAAAACCAUUAAAAUUGAGAACUCAGUCAUUUAAGACAAAGAAUGAAUGGAAAAAAAGUGUUUAACAUUUAAAGAAAUACAGAGAAAGAGCUUAGCUCAUUCGGUAUUUUCUGAAAUUUUAAUUAGUUUUGAAAGUGUUUUUUGAUUUUUUAAAGGUGUACUAGACCCAAAUUCCAUAUAUUAGCCGUGCCAUGAGAAAACCAACAUAGUGGGUUUGAACCAGCAUGGAUCCAGACCAGCCUGCCCAUCCGUGCAGUCUGGUCAGGAUCUUUGCUGUUCACUUUUAAAGCCUACUGGAAUUAGAGAAACUGUUAGCGAACAGCAUGGAUCCUGAUCAGACUACGUGGAUAUGCAGGCUGGUCUGGAUCCAUUCUGGUCACAAACCCACUAUGUUGGUUUUCUCAUGGCGUGGCUCAUAUAUGAAUAUGAACAAAUGCUACACAUAGUUAUGUAAACAUUGAAUUAACAAGUUUAUGAAGUCAACAGUACUAUGCAUUGGUUAAAUAUAGACACACUGUAUGUAUGUAAGGCUGAACACAGUAUAAAUGUUAAAUUCCUCUAAGACACUGGAAGAUUUUUCAACAAUCUGCUGUUUAGUACUGCAUGACAUAAAAUUAUGAAUGUAGCUCUACAUACACAGUUGAUUUAUACGUUAUUAAGCAAAGUUAAAUAUAUUUAUUGAUGAUUUUCUACAGUAAUUACCUAAAUAUUAAAUAUUUUAGUGAAGAUAUAUUUUAUGCAACUAUAUAAGUUGAAAAAAGCCACCUCCAGGAAGAAUAUUUUGAAAUGAUACUUUUACUUGAAAAUUUAUGUGGAAAAUGAAGGAAAUAGAUGUUAAAAUGAAUUCUUUAUUUUAUAAAAAAUGUUGUUGCCAUGGAAACAUAAUUUGAGUAUUAAGUUUAUCUGCUUUCAUACCAGAGUAAUAUGACUUUUAAUUAUAAUUAUGUAAACAAUUUAAUGUUAUAUAAUUAUCACUGAUACUUUUAAUUUUCAAUUUACACUGUCACUGAGCAAUGCAUCUUAAGUACAUUUGAGGUUGAAUGACACAUUACAAAUAUUAGAUAUUUAUGGAAUUACUUUUAGAUAUUUUUGAGAUGAAUAUAAAUCAGAAAAAUCACAAAUUCUAGUUCUUCUAGAGAACUAAUAUAUAUUUUAUAAAUUUACAUUUUUUUUAUCAAAUGUAGGCUAAAAUGUCUGUUAAAUUGACAUUUAAAGCAAUUCUUGUAUUUUGUUGCUAUGGAAACAUAAAUUGUGUCAAUUUUUUUAAUAUAAAAUAGCAUAUUUAUAGCAAGAAUGCAUUAUCAACUGUGCUAAUCAUGUUAAAUACUUUUGAUAUUGAUGGCAAAAUAUGAAAUUAAAAUAUAUGAUAAAAAUAAAUGAUUUUAGUAUUUGUCAUUAUUAUUAAAAAAUAAGUGCAAGUUUGCGAUGGGGAGUUAUUGUACCAAAAAUGCUAUAAUUUUGUUAUUUUAAAACAUGCAGGUCUAAAGUUUUGAAUUUAUGUUAAGGACACAUGUACAGUUCAGAAUAUGUGAAAAACUCAGUUUCCAUAAAAAUGUCAUUUGGGACCAUUUUGUCAUGGCUUGUCACAUAUGAUCCUUUGUUUAAUGUAAAUGCAUCAAAUAAAAAUUAAAUGCUAA